Molecule: ribosomal RNA, 450 nt
Filed under: uncultured bacterium
Lineage: Bacteria
Description: partial 16S ribosomal RNA
Rfam family: Bacterial small subunit ribosomal RNA
Source: RNAcentral
GUGGGGAAUAUUGGACAAUGGGCGAAAGCCUGAUCCAGCCAUGCCGCGUGUGUGAAGAAGGUCUUCGGAUUGUAAAGCACUUUAAGUUGGGAGGAAGGGCAGUAAGUUAAUACCUUGCUGUUUUGACGUUACCGACAGAAUAAGCACCGGCUAACUUCGUGCCAGCAGCCGCGGCAAUACGAAGGGUGCAAGCGUUAAUCGGAAUUACUGGGCGUAAAGCGCGCGUAGGUGGUUUUGUAAGUUGGAGGUGAAAUCCCCGGGCUCAACCUGGGAACUGCCUCCAAAACUGCAUGACUAGAGUACGGUAGAGGGUAGUGGAAUUUCCUGUGUAGCGGUGAAAUGCGUAGAUAUAGGAAGGAACACCAGUGGCGAAGGCGACUACCUGGACUGAUACUGACACUGAGGUGCGAAAGCGUGGGGAGCAAACAGGAUUAGAUACCCUAGUAGUCC